Paramarasmius palmivorus is the source of this 80-nucleotide non-coding RNA. The record is from the annotation of a GenBank genome assembly. Lineage: Eukaryota; Fungi; Basidiomycota; Agaricomycetes; Agaricales; Marasmiaceae.
GAUCUCCUAGCUCAGCGGUAGAGCGUCGGAUUCCAGUCAUUGUAUCCCGAAGGUCAUCCGUUCAAUCCGGGUGGAGAUCA